RNAcentral lists this ribosomal RNA (851 nucleotides) under uncultured bacterium. RNAcentral describes it as "bacterial SSU rRNA". It matches the Rfam family "Bacterial small subunit ribosomal RNA", at positions 42 to 887 of the family's 1533-position model. The record is from RNAcentral.
GCAGGCUUAACACAUGCAAGUCGAGCGGGGAAGGGUAGCUUGCUAUCUGACCUAGCGGCGGACGGGUGAGUAAUGCUUAGGAAUCUGCCUAUUAGUGGGGGACAACAUUCCGAAAGGAAUGCUAAUACCGCAUACGCCCUACGGGGGAAAGCAGGGGAUCUUCGGACCUUGCGCUAAUAGAUGAGCCUAAGUCAGAUUAGCUAGUUGGUGGGGUAAAGGCCUACCAAGGCGACGAUCUGUAGCGGGUCUGAGAGGAUGAUCCGCCACACUGGGACUGAGACACGGCCCAGACUCCUACGGGAGGCAGCAGUGGGGAAUAUUGGACAAUGGGCGAAAGCCUGAUCCAGCCAUGCCGCGUGUGUGAAGAAGGCCUUUUGGUUGUAAAGCACUUUAAGCGAGGAGGAGGCUACCGAGAUUAAUACUCUUGGAUAGUGGACGUUACUCGCAGAAUAAGCACCGGCUAACUCUGUGCCAGCAGCCGCGGUAAUACAGAGGGUGCGAGCGUUAAUCGGAUUUACUGGGCGUAAAGCGUGCGUAGGCGGCUUUUUAAGUCGGAUGUGAAAUCCCUGAGCUUAACUUAGGAAUUGCAUUCGAUACUGGGAAGCUAGAGUAUGGGAGAGGAUGGUAGAAUUCCAGGUGUAGCGGUGAAAUGCGUAGAGAUCUGGAGGAAUACCGAUGGCGAAGGCAGCCAUCUGGCCUAAUACUGACGCUGAGGUACGAAAGCAUGGGGAGCAAACAGGAUUAGAUACCCUGGUAGUCCAUGCCGUAAACGAUGUCUACUAGCCGUUGGGGCCUUUGAGGCUUUAGUGGCGCAGCUAACGCGAUAAGUAGACCGCCUGGGGAGUACGGUC